GGGGCCGGAAGACCCUCCCCCCGCGUCUUCAGAGGAGCGCUGUUUCUGGAGGAGUUAGGGGAAGGAGGCUGCCUGGCCCAAAUUGGAUCUCAGCGCCUGGGAGCUCCAACUUUAGCAAGUGCGAAAUCCUGUCUUCGGUUUUGGAAUUUUCAUCCGCACAGACUAUAUCAGCCACGGAUAGGAUAUGUGAGAAUACCAGCAUGUCAAGGCUGGGAAUCAUCCUUAGGCAUCACCUAGCCAGUCCUGCCUCUCAUUUUAAGGUGAUCACAGGAUCUGGUUUGCCACUGAAAGGAAUCUUGAUGCUGACCACUUCACCUCGGAGAGCAUGAACUGCUCCCAUGCCUUCAAGAGUUUUAGUGGGUAACCAGGAUGGAACUGCGGUGUUGCUUGCAGGAGAAGCUUACUACUGGUUUCUACUUCUCCAACCUCAUUGGUGGCUAUGCAGGCACUGUCUCCAGACUGUCUAUAUUCAACCCAGUAUCCAAGAAUUUCUUUACCACCAUCACAUUCAGGUUUCUCCCACUGUAGAGUGACACUAUCUUUGGAUAUUGAAAGAAUCUCAAGUUCUCCUGGUUGGCUUGGUUUAUCUGAAAUAUUUUAAAAUAAUGAAAAGGGAGUCAGCUUUACUGGUGAAAUAAAAGGACCAAACAU
Molecule: long non-coding RNA, 651 nt
Filed under: Homo sapiens (human)
Lineage: Eukaryota; Metazoa; Chordata; Mammalia; Primates; Hominidae
Description: HSALNT0307559
Source: RNAcentral